GCCAGGCGUGGUGGCUCAUGCCUGUAAUCCCAGCACUUUGGGAGGCUGAGGUGGGUGGAUCACUUGAGGCCAGGAGUUCGAGACCAGCCUGGCCAACAUGGUGAAACCCCAUCUCUA
This is an unclassified non-coding RNA of Pongo abelii (Sumatran orangutan), 117 nucleotides long. It matches the Rfam family "Metazoan signal recognition particle RNA". Rfam says of the family: The signal recognition particle (SRP) is a universally conserved ribonucleoprotein. It is involved in the co-translational targeting of proteins to membranes. NCBI's taxonomy places the organism in Eukaryota, Metazoa, Chordata, Mammalia, Primates, Hominidae. The record is from Ensembl.